Molecule: ribosomal RNA, 84 nt
Filed under: Vibrio parahaemolyticus
Lineage: Bacteria; Pseudomonadati; Pseudomonadota; Gammaproteobacteria; Vibrionales; Vibrionaceae
Description: partial 16S ribosomal RNA
Rfam family: Bacterial small subunit ribosomal RNA
Source: RNAcentral
CUUAAAUUGAAGAGUUUGAUCAUGGCUCAGAUUGAACGCUGGCGGCAGGCCUAACACAUGCAAGUCGAGCGGAAACGAGUUGAC